This 442-nucleotide ribosomal RNA is filed under the name uncultured bacterium. RNAcentral's name for it is "partial 16S ribosomal RNA". It matches the Rfam family "Bacterial small subunit ribosomal RNA", at positions 338 to 795 of the family's 1533-position model. The record is from RNAcentral.
CCUACGGGGGGCUGCAGUGGGGAAUAUUGGUCAAUGGGCGCAAGCCUGACCCAGCAACGCCGCGUGAAGGAAGAAGGCUCUCGGGUUGUAAACUUCUUUUAAGAGGGAAGAGCAGAAGACGGUACCUCUUGAAUAAGCCACGGCUAACUACGUGCCAGCAGCCGCGGUAAUACGUAGGUGGCAAGCGUUGUCCGGAAUUACUGGGUUUAAAGGGCGUGUAGCCGGGCCGACAAGUCAGAUGUGAAAUUUCGGGGCUCAACCCCGGACCUGCCUUUGAAACUGGUGGUCUUGAGUGUCGGAGAGGCAGGCGGAAUUCCUGGUGUAGCGGUGAAAUGCGUAGAUAUUAGGAGGAACACCAGUGGCGAAGGCGGCCUGCUGGACGACGACUGACGGUGAGGCGCGAAAGCGUGGGGAGCAAACAGGAUUAGAUACCCUUGUAGUC